Molecule: ribosomal RNA, 531 nt
Filed under: Dirkmeia churashimaensis
Lineage: Eukaryota; Fungi; Basidiomycota; Ustilaginomycetes; Ustilaginales; Ustilaginaceae
Description: partial large subunit ribosomal RNA
Rfam family: Eukaryotic large subunit ribosomal RNA
Source: RNAcentral
GAAAGCAUUGUAAUCUCAAGAAGUGUUUUCCGCUUCGGACCAUGCCUAAGUCCCUUGGAAAAGGGCAUCAUAGAGGGUGAUAAUCCCGUACAUGGCAUGGAGCGCCCGAAGCUUUGUGAUACGCUUUCUAAGAGUCGAGUUGUUUGGGAAUGCAGCUCAAAAUGGGUGGUAAAUGCCAUCUAAGGCUAAAUAUUGGGGAGAGACCGAUAGCGAACAAGUACAGUGAUGGAAAGAUGAAAAGAACUUUGAAAAGAGAGUUAAACAGUACGUGAAAUUGCCAAAAGGGAAGGGUAGGAGGUCAGAGAUGCGGCCUGGGAUUCAGCCUUGCUUUUGCUUGGUGUUUUUCCCAGAUUGCAGGCCAACGUCGGUUUUGGGCACUGGAGAAGGGUAGGAGGAACGUGGCACCUCUCGGGGUGUGUUAUAGCCUCCUACUGGAUACAGCGACCGAGACCGAGGACAGCAGCGUACUCGCAAGAGCGGGCCUUCGGGCACCUUUACGCUUAGGGCGUUGGCAUAAUGGCCCUCUACCAC